RNAcentral lists this ribosomal RNA (253 nucleotides) under uncultured bacterium. RNAcentral's name for it is "partial 16S ribosomal RNA". It matches the Rfam family "Bacterial small subunit ribosomal RNA", at positions 524 to 776 of the family's 1533-position model. The record is from RNAcentral.
UACGUAGGUGGCGAGCGUUGUCCGGAUUUAUUGGGUUUAAAGGGUGCGUAGGCGGCCCUAUAAGUCAGUGGUGAAAUAUCGCAGCUUAACUGUGAGGGUGCCAUUGAUACUGUAGGGCUUGAGUGAAUUUGAGGUAGGCGGAAUUGACGGUGUAGCGGUGAAAUGCUUAGAUAUCGUCAAGAACACCGAUAGUGAAGACGGCUUACCAAGCUUCAACUGACGCUGAGGCACGAAAGUGUGGGGAUCAAACAGG